RNAcentral lists this ribosomal RNA (494 nucleotides) under uncultured bacterium. RNAcentral's name for it is "partial 16S ribosomal RNA". It matches the Rfam family "Bacterial small subunit ribosomal RNA", at positions 28 to 507 of the family's 1533-position model. The record is from RNAcentral.
GACGAACGCUGGCGGCGUGCUUAACACAUGCAAGUCGAACGGUGAAGCGCCUUCCUUUUUGGUGGGUGUGGAUGAGUGGCGAACGGGUGAGUAACACGUGAGUAACCUGCCCCCUUCUUCUGGAUAACCGCAUGAAAGUGUGGCUAAUACGGGAUAUUCUGGGUCUGUCGCAUGAUGGGUCUGGGAAAGAUAUUGUUUCGGUGGGGGAUGGGCUCGCGGCCUAUCAGCUUGUUGGUGGGGUGGUGGCCUACCAAGGCGGUGACGGGUAGCCGGCCUGAGAGGGUGGACGGUCACACUGGGACUGAGACACGGCCCAGACUCCUACGGGAGGCAGCAGUGGGGAAUAUUGCACAAUGGGCGCAAGCCUGAUGCAGCGACGUCGCGUGAGGGAUGGAGGCCUUCGGGUUGUGAACCUCUUUCGCCAGUGAAGCAGGCCUGCCUCGUUUGUGGGUGGGUUGACGGUAGCUGGAUAAGAAGCGCCGGCUAACUACGUG